UACGGAGGGUGCAAGCGUUAUCCGGAUUUACUGGGUUUAAAGGGUGCGUAGGUGGGCAGGUAAGUCAGUGGUGAAAUCUCCGGGCUUAACCCGGAAACUGCCAUUGAUACUAUCUGCCUUGAAUUUCCUGGAGGUAAGCGGAAUAUGUCAUGUAGCGGUGAAAUGCUUAGAUAUGACAUAGAACACCAAUUGCGAAGGCAGCUUACUACGGGAACAUUGACACUGAGGCACGAAAGCGUGGGGAUCAAACAGG
This 253-nucleotide ribosomal RNA is filed under the name uncultured bacterium. RNAcentral describes it as "partial 16S ribosomal RNA". It matches the Rfam family "Bacterial small subunit ribosomal RNA", at positions 524 to 776 of the family's 1533-position model. The record is from RNAcentral.